Molecule: transfer RNA, 70 nt
Filed under: Mycobacterium intracellulare subsp. yongonense
Lineage: Bacteria; Bacillati; Actinomycetota; Actinomycetes; Mycobacteriales; Mycobacteriaceae
Description: tRNA-Thr
Source: RNAcentral
GAACCCAGCCGAACAUGGCUACACUCGCCUUGUAAGCGAGCGGUCGUCAGUUCAAUCCUGACAGGGGGCU